UAAUAAGUGUUUUAUGGCACUUUUUAAAUCCAUAUCCACCUUGUGUGCAAUGUCAGUCGAUCUUCUUCAUGGAGAUGACCAAACAUCAACCUUUAUUUUUUAACUCUUUGUCUGAAAAAUAUUAUGAAUUAACAAUUCAAAAUA
RNAcentral lists this unclassified non-coding RNA (144 nucleotides) under soil metagenome. RNAcentral describes it as "partial internal transcribed spacer 1". The record is from RNAcentral.